CGAACUCUGGUAUUGAUUGGUGCUUGCAUCAUGAUUUACAUUUGAGUGAGUGGCGAACUGGUGAGUAACACGUGGGAAACCUGCCCAGAAGCGGGGGAUAACACCUGGAAACAGAUGCUAAUACCGCAUAACAACUUGGACCGCAUGGUCCGAGUUUGAAAGAUGGCUUCGGCUAUCACUUUUGGAUGGUCCCGCGGCGUAUUAGCUAGAUGGUGGGGUAACGGCUCACCAUGGCAAUGAUACGUAGCCGACCUGAGAGGGUAAUCGGCCACAUUGGGACUGAGACACGGCCCAAACUCCUACGGGAGGCAGCAGUAGGGAAUCUUCCACAAUGGACGAAAGUCUGAUGGAGCAACGCCGCGUGAGUGAAGAAGGGUUUCGGCUCGUAAAACUCUGUUGUUAAAGAAGAACAUAUCUGAGAGUAACUGUUCAGGUAUUGACGGUAUUUAACCAGAAAGCCACGGCUAACUACGUGCCAGCAGCCGCGGUAAUACGUAGGUGGCAAGCGUUGUCCGGAUUUAUUGGGCGUAAAGCGAGCGCAGGCGGUUUUUUAAGUCUGAUGUGAAAGCCUUCGGCUCAACCGAAGAAGUGCAUCGGAAACUGGGAAACUUGAGUGCAGAAGAGGACAGUGGAACUCCAUGUGUAGCGGUGAAAUGCGUAGAUAUAUGGAAGAACACCAGUGGCGAAGGCGGCUGUCUGGUCUGUAACUGACGCU
Molecule: ribosomal RNA, 715 nt
Filed under: Lactiplantibacillus plantarum
Lineage: Bacteria; Bacillati; Bacillota; Bacilli; Lactobacillales; Lactobacillaceae
Description: bacterial SSU rRNA
Rfam family: Bacterial small subunit ribosomal RNA
Source: RNAcentral